RNAcentral lists this ribosomal RNA (582 nucleotides) under uncultured bacterium. RNAcentral describes it as "partial 16S ribosomal RNA". It matches the Rfam family "Bacterial small subunit ribosomal RNA", at positions 355 to 935 of the family's 1533-position model. The record is from RNAcentral.
UGGGGAAUUUUGGACAAUGGGCGAAAGCCUGAUCCAGCAAUGCCGCGUGUGUGAAGAAGGCCUUCGGGUUGUAAAGCACUUUUGUCCGGAAAGAAAUCCUUGGCUCUAAUACAGUCGGGGGAUGACGGUACCGGAAGAAUAAGCACCGGCUAACUACGUGCCAGCAGCCGCGGUAAUACGUAGGGUGCAAGCGUUAAUCGGAAUUACUGGGCGUAAAGCGUGCGCAGGCGGUUUGCUAAGACCGAUGUGAAAUCCCCGGGCUCAACCUGGGAACUGCAUUGGUGACUGGCAGGCUAGAGUAUGGCAGAGGGGGGUAGAAUUCCACGUGUAGCAGUGAAAUGCGUAGAGAUGUGGAGGAAUACCGAUGGCGAAGGCAGCCCCCUGGGCCAAUACUGACGCUCAUGCACGAAAGCGUGGGGGAGCAAACAGGAUUAGAUACCCUGGUAGUCCACGCCCUAAACGAUGUCAACUAGUUGUUGGGGAUUCAUUUCCUAGUAACGUAGCUAACGCGUGAAGUUGACCGCCUGGGGAGUACGGUCGCAAGAUUAAAACUUAAAUGAAUUGACGGGGUCAUAGCUGUUU